CUCCGCGCCCUGCGCGGCGCCGGAAGCGGCCGGCCGGCCCCCUCCCCGCGGCGCCCGCCGCCUUAUCUCGGCGCCUCUGGGCCGCGGGAGGAGUCGCGGGCGCGCCAGGAGGGACGCGGCGGCGGCGGCGGCGGCAUGGGCCGGGGGCCCCGGGGCGCGGGCCGCCCGCCUCGCCGCCUGCUGCCGCUCCUGCUGCUGCUCGGCCUGGCCCGUGGCGCGAGCGGAGCGCGGGGCGCCGACGGUUUAGAUGUCUGUGCCACUUGCCACAAACAUGCUACCUGCAAGCAAACAGAAGGGAUGAAGAUGUGUAUUUGCAAGUACGGAUUUGUGGGCAAUGGGAGGACUCACUGCGUUGAUAAAAAUGAGUGCCAGUUUGGAGCCACUGUGGUCUGUGGAAACCACACAUCUUGCCACAACACGCUCGGAGGCUUUUAUUGCAUUUGCCUAGAAGGAUAUCGAGCCACGAAUAACAACAAAACAUUCAUUCCCAAUGAUGGCACCUUUUGCACAGACAUAGAUGAGUGUGAGGUUUCCGGCCUGUGCAGACAAGGAGGACGGUGUGUGAACACUUAUGGAAGUUUCGAAUGCUACUGUAUGGAUGGGUACUUGGCAAAGAAUGGGCCUGAGCCUUUCCACCCGACCAGAGACGCCACGUCAUGCACAGAAAUAGACUGUGGCACCCCUCCUGAGGUCCCAGAUGGCUAUAUCGUAGGAAAUUAUACUUCUAGGCUUGGCAGCCAGGUUCGUUAUGCUUGCAAAGAAGGAUUUUUCAGUGGCCUGGAAGAUACAGUUUCAAGCUGCACAGCCUUGGGCACGUGGGAGUCCCCAAAAUUAAAUUGCCAAGAGAUCAACUGUGGCCAUCCUCCGGAAGUGCAGCAUGCGGUCCUGGUGGGGAAUCACAGCUCCAGGCUGGGCAGUGUGGCUCAUUACGUCUGUCAAGAGGGCUUUGAAAGCCCUAGAGGAAAGAUCAUUUCCAUUUGCACAGAGAAAGGCACUUGGAGAGAAAGUCCUUUGACAUGCACAGAAAUAAUUGCAGAAGUUAAUGAUGUAUCAGUGUUUAAUAACAGCUGUGUGAGGUGGCAAAUAAACCCAGGAAGAACAGUCUCCAAGAUUAUCUAUGUGAUACACAUAAAAGGACAACGGUUGCACCCUGUGGAAUCAGUUCAUGAGGAGACCGUCAACUUGACCACAGACAGCAGGACCCCCGAAGUGUGCCUAGAUCUGUACCCAGGCACCAACUACACCGUGAGCAUCUUCACCGCCCUGCCCACACGCUCCGUGCCCACCAUCAUUGGGUUCCAGACAGCUGAAGAUGAUCUCUCAGAAGAUGAUGCAACUUUCAAUAUUUCAAUAUUUAGCGAAGCUUGUUUGAAACUGAGCAGGGGCCCUAGGAAAGCUGGAUCAGAACAAACGUACCAAUUUAAAGUUCUAGGUCAGAGGUGGUAUCUGAAUAAUUUUUAUCAUGCCACAUCAUUUAACUUCACAACGAGGGAACAAGCUCCAGUAGUGUGUUUAGACCUGUACCCAGCAGCGGAUUACACAGUGAAUAUCACUCUACUGGGAUCUUCUGAGCAGCACUCAGUGCAAAUAACAAUGACAACUGCACCAGCAGUAAAACAGAUCAUCAGUAACAUUUCAAUAUUUAAUGAAACCUGCUUGAGAUGGAGAAGUACAAAAACAGCUGAUACAGAGGAGAUGUAUUCAUUCCACAUUCAGGGCCAGAGAUGGUAUCAGAAGGAAUUUUCCCAGGAAAUAAUCUUUAAUAUCACUACCAGCAGUCAGGCUCCCGAGAUGUGCUUGGACCUGCAUCCGGGCACCAACUACAGUGUCCACGUCCAGGCUUUGUCUUCUGAACUUCCUGUGGUCCUCUCCCUGACAACCCAGAUAACAGAGCCUCCCCUUCCAGAAGUAGACUUUGUCACAGUGCAUGGAAGGCCUCUACCACGUCUGAGACUGAGGAAAGCCAAGGAGAAAAAUGGACCGAUCAGUUCCUACCAGGUGUUGGUGCUUCCCCUGGCCCUCCAAAGCACUUUUUUUUGUGAUUCUGAAGGGGCUACCUCAUUCUUUAGCAACACCUCUGAUGCCAGUGGAUAUGUGGCUGCGGAACUACUGGCCGAAGAUGUUCCAGAUGAUGCCAUGGAGAUAUCUAUUGGGGACAGGCUGUACUAUGGGAAAUACUAUAAUGCACCUUUGAGAAAAGGGAAUGAUUACUGGAUUAUAUUACGAAUCACAAGUGAAUGGAAUAAGGUGAGAAGAUGCUCCUGUGCAGUUUGGGCUCACGUGAAAGAUUCGUCAUUCAUGCUGCAGCACAUGGUGGGCGUUGGGCUGGGCUCCGUGGCUGUUGUGAUUAUUCUCGCAUUCCUGUCCUUCUCAGCCGUGUGAUUGCAGACGGGCACUACCUGUGGAGGAUGCACGGUGCUGAGGCAGAUGUUAUGGCUGUUUCUCAGGUGCCUGCCUAGACAGAGGCCCCAUGUGACUUUCACCCAGGAGGGUCUCACCGAGCAAUGGCCGAAUGAGCAAUGGCCGAAUGUCGGCUGCAACCAGGAAUGCCUGCUGGACCCUGCUGUUGCCGGUUCCCCAAGACUGCGGCCAGGUGCCAGCCAGCCCCAGAAAAAGUUCAUGAGACAGUGUAGCAGCAGCGUUUCAGGGAUUAUGGAAAAUCUCUACACACAUCUGGCACCAGACUUCACCCUCAACGACCUUGCCCCAGUACCAGCGAAUGUGGCUGCCUUCCGGGGUCUGCUGGGACCAGGUGGCUUCAACAGUCUCUACCAAAUGUCCCUUCCAGCAGUGGAACCGCUUUUCCCCGUGUGGCCUCAGAACCUCCCGGACUCCACUCUGUUCCUGGGGAUUCGCCCUUCCCACCAGAGCACCACCAGGUAUCGAGCUGCGGAGUUGCAGCCUUUGUGCUCCCCUUGUUUACAGUCUUAAUGGAGUUUAAGCCCUCUCUCCUUUCUCCCUUUUUAGUUUAGUCCCUGCGGCUGUUUCCAAUUUCCCACUUUCUCUCCAGCUGCUUUUGGGAACAGGUGCUUUUCCCGUAUGCUCCCCCUUCCCCAGUCUCCGUCCUCUCUCCACCUGCAAAAGGGGUUCCUUACCUUUUGUGGCUUCUCGCUCCCCAAGUUCAGCUCUCCGCGCCGCGUACCUGCUGAAUUCUGUGGUUCAGGUUGUGCAGAUUGUUGUGUUAAUCCUCCAAUCAGUUUUCUAGGUGUGUAGGAUGGUUUAGUGUUGGUCUGGCUGUAUUUCAUGGAUGUGAAACACACAAAAAGCUUCCAUGCUAUUCUGCCAUCUUGGCUCCUCCCCCAACAUACUUCCUUUUGAGGCUGUGGGGAAGCAGGCACUCAAACAUUGUUAGGUUAUGGAAUGAUACAACCUCUAUGAAAAGGAAGGAAACCUGGCAAUACUUACAUUGCCUUUGUCCAGGUGCCUUUAUCCUGUAACUCAGAAUUCCCACUUCUUGUAGGUUCACUUGCAUAUGUUGAAAAUGACACAUGUACAGGGUUACUUGCUGUGACCUAGUUCAUAAUCAAAAAAGCAGAGAAACAACCCAUAUGCCUCUCCAGAGGAAAUGAACAAUGAUAUCUCCAUGUAACACAGUGGAAUAACCAUGCAGUUGUGGAAAGGGGAUGGAGAAGAGCUUUAUGUACUGAUAUGGAGAGAUUUGUAAGAUAUAUUGUUUUUUUUUUUUUUAAUGUUUAUUUUUGAGAGGGAGAGAGACACACACCCAGUGUGAGUGGGGAAGAAGCAGAGAGAAGGAGACAACAGAAUUCAAAGCAGGCUCCAGGCUCUGAGCUGUCAGCACAGAGCCUGACAUGGGAUUUGAACCCACAAACCAUGAGAUCAUGACCUGAGCUGAAGUUGGACACUUAACUGAGACACCCAGGAAUCCCUCUAAGAUACAUUGUUUUAAUGAGAAGAGCAAGGUAGAGAAUACUGGAUAUGGUAUGCUAUGCUUUGUGUAAGAGGGGAAAUGAAAAUAUGUAUUCAAUUUUAUAUAAAGAAACACUGGAACAAUAACAGUGAAUUAAUGAAAAUGGUUACAAAUAGAGCAAGGAAUAAUGGGGUGGAGGUGGACAGGGUGAAAGUGAGUCUUUUGAGUGUUUAUCUUCUUAUUUUGUUGUGAUUUUUUUUUUCAUUUUAUUUUAGAGCAAGGGAGCACAAGCAGACGGUUGGGGAAAAGGGAGAGAGAGAGAGACAGAAUCUUAAGCAGACUUUAUGCUCAGUAUAGAGCCCAACACAGGGCUUGAUCCCACAGCCCUAAGAGCAUGACCUGAGCCAAAAUCAAGAGUUGGACGCUCAACCGACUGACCCACCCAAGCACCCCACCAAAGUAUUAUUUUAAACAAAAAUAUUUUCCUCCUUAAUUCUGUUGCCAGCUGUUAACUUAAACAUUACAUAUCUGGCUUUCUUUCUUCUUUUUUUUAAUGUGUAUUUAUUUUUGAGAGAGAAAUAGAGAGUGGGCAGGGGAGGGACAGAGAGAGAAGGAGGGAAUCCCAAGCAGGCUCCACACUGUUAGCACAGAGCCCACUGCCAGGUUCGAACUCAUGAACCAUGAGAUCAUGACCUGAGCUGAAAUCGAGUCAGGUGCUUAACUGACUGAGCCACCCAAGCACCCCUACAUAUUUGGCCUUCUGAAAUUUUCCCGAAGCUGCUUAUUAUUGAGUUCAUUUUUCCUUGCUGCACAGUAGUGAUUCAGAUUUCUUAAAAGCUUUUUGUGAAUCUUUGGUAAUGUGACUUUGGGAGACAACUAGAAACUAGAAAGUGAAUUUUUAUAAGAGAAAUAUAGUAAAGACUAUAUAUGCUUAUAGCCAUGUGUUAAUUUUCUAUUUGCUAUGUAUCAAAUUACCACAAACUUAGUGGCUUAAAACAAUACACACUUACUAUGCCCCAGUUUGUAUGGGUCAAGAGUCCAGGUUUAGUUUAGUUGGAUUCUCUGCUCAAGGUAUCACAAGUCUGCAGUCAAGGUAUUGGCUAGGUUGCAUUUUCAGCUGGAGGUUCGACUGAGGAAAAUUUCUCUAACGUGCUUAUGUAGAUUGUUGGCAGUGUUCAUUUCCUUGUGGUUGUAGGGCUGGGGUGGGGGGGUCCCAACAUUUUGCUGGCUGGUGGCUGGUGGCUCAGGUCCUAGAUGCCUGGAUGCCUGUUUGUCUGCCACAUGGGCUUCCUGAACACAACUGUCUAGUUCAUCAAGCCAGCAACGAGAAUCUAUGACUGCAGGGAGGUGUUCAGUCCCUCUUUUAAAGGGCUUUCAUCUAAGUUAGGCCCACCCAGGAUAAUCUCCUUUUUAACGAACUAAAAAUUGGGGCACCUGGGUGGCUCAAUUGGUUAAGUGUCCGACUUCAUCUCAGGUCAUGAUCUCAUGGUUUGUGAGUUGAGCACCACAUCAGGCUCUCUGCUGUCAGCGUAGAGCCUGCUUCAAAUCUUCUGUCCCCCUCUCUCUGCCCUUCCCCUGCUCGUGUCUGCGUGUGCUCUCUCUCUCUCUCUCUCAAAAACAAAUAAACGUUAAAAAAUAAUAAAUUUAAUUAAAAAUUAACUAAUUGGCCUUAAUUAUGUCUAUAAAAUCCUUUCACUUGUGCUGUAUUCUGUUGGUUAGAAAUAAGUUCCAAUGGAGGGGGACAUCUGAUGUGAACACUAGGGGGCAGGGAUUGUGGGCCAUUUUAGAUUUCUGCCUGCUACAAGUUGCUAAAGAAAAAAAUCAAUGAUAAACUUUAAACCCCACUACGGUAUUUCCUGGGUCCUUCUGACACGGCUAUUUGACUUUAGGGCCAAACCCUAGGGCAUAAUUCUGUUCUCUCUAAGGAGAGGUGCCAAGGCUUACAGGAGUAGAAAUGGUCAAUGGCCCUGAGAUUUUUAAGAAGGCAACUGGGUCUGUAAAACUGCUUUCUUAACUUUGAACGCAUUCACUUGGGUGAGGUACAGAGAUUUUGGGGGAAGGAAAGGGUGCCAUUUCUCUGUGUCCCUGGGCGCGUAUCCUUUGGGUUAACAGGAUUCAGGAUUUGUGAGCUUGGCCUGAAAAAGUCUGUCUCUGCCAGACUUGAGAGAAGUGGUGUGUGGCCUGGCGGGUUAGCUCUGUCCUAUAGUCCCUGGAAGCGGCCAUCCUGAGUCUUGGUGAACUGGGCAGAGUAAGGCAACAUUGACCAGACUCAAGGCUUCCAGAUGGUGGCCAGAGCUCCAGGGAUCAGAGCUGGAGAGCACAAAGGUCCUCCCCAGCCCCCAGGACCCUCCCUAGCCAAGGACUUGUUAGUAGGUGUAUGCAGCAGAGUGGAUGGGGCUGAGGGCAAAGCAGUCAAAACUCUUAGCCACCAGCUGUGACUCCCUGUGUCCAAAGUGCCUUCUGGUGAAGAGUGGACCCAAGAACCUGAAAGAGGGCCGAGUUUCAAGAGCCAAGGGAAUUUGGCUUUUUGGGGGGUGGGUUGUGUUAGCUGUGGCUUGGGAUCCUAUAGAGAUUAGCACCAGAUGAGUCCAGAGCCCUUGUGGUUUGCAGGGACUUUGCCAUGCUGGUGAUGGUCAGGGACAGUGGGAGAUACUUCACUAUGUUGCCUUCUGGCUAAAGAAGGGCAGUGUGCAGGGCAGGGGAAUUGUUAUCACGGAGCCUAGGAAGGGGCAUUGGCUGGGCAGUGCAAGUCCUGAGCUGAACAAGGAAGACCACGUGCUGGUCCUGGUCGCAGAACAUACAUGUCCACACUGUGUAUGGCCCUGUAAGGGAGAUGGUGCAUGGGGCUGUCAGGUUCCAAGACUCCAGCCUGUCUCCAGCUUGCUACCAAGGGUACAAAGCAGCUGAGUCUGACUUGGCUGCCUGUGAUCUGUGUUCAUCAGCAUUCUUACUGGAUUUCUCUUGGAAAAUUAAUACAUAGCCAUCUGGUCUAUCAGUCUGAGUUUGGUGCAUCUGAAAUAAUUGGCUGGAUUAGAUAAGAUAGAGGCUGAAGGAACUCCACAAAGGCAAAAGGACCAGCCCCAUACCGAUCUCAUGAGACUAUAUCUCAGUCUCCAUUUCCUCCAUCUUCCUCCACUUCCCCUCAUUUCUACAGCCACUCCUCUGGCCUCCUCUCCCUCCACCCCCAGGCUGCUGCUGCUGAGCCCUGCAGGUCUCAUGGAGAAGCCACUCAGAUAGGGUUGGAGUUAGAUGCAGAGCUGGAACCCACAGUGGAGAUACAGCUGGGAGAGCAUGGGAGGCUCAGUGAGAGCCAACCAUAGAAAGAUCAAGGCUUAUAACAUAUAAAAGAAAUAGAGACCCACUUCUAGAGGGAAGCGGGUAGCCCGCCUUCCUGGAAGGAUGCAUGAAGCUGAACAGCCUUGGGGAGUUGACUGACAGCUGGGGAGUUGGUCUGGCAGUGUGGUCUGUAUUGACUGUAUUGCAUACUUCACUUUCUAAGGUUGACCAGGGAGGUCAUCGUCCUCAGCCUCUGCCUACAAGUGGGUUGCCAAAUGGCCCUUUAUUGCCCAUGCAGCUUUCAUCAGCUUGGUCACCCAGGUGAUUGCCCUCAAUCCCUGAGACUUCACUGGUUUCCCAUGAACAUUGGGUUCAUAGUACCUCUUGUCUGCCACUGCAAGCUAGCUUGUGUUUUAGGAAACUCUAACAAACUUUCCAAAUGGACUUACCUUUCUUGCUGUAGGACUUCUGCUUUGCAUAAUCACUUGCUUGGUCAGCCACGAGGCUGCAUGCUGAUAAAUCAGAAGUAAAAUAAGUUGUUUGAAGUGAGCGACAGGAAAAAGAACUGAUUUUGAGCAGAUACUUUCUGAAUGAAAUGAGAGCCUGAGACAUGAGUCUGAAGAACAGGAUGCCAACUUUCAAGCAUUUCAACCGGGAAGCUCCAAAAUUCUCUGAGCUCAGUGAAUUCCCAUUUAAUUCUGAGGAGACUCCUCAGGGACCUAGUGAGUUUUUUUUUUUUACCAUAACACAAGGGAUGGGGUUUGAUGCACAAUGAAAGAAAUCAUAGCUUAAGUUAGUCUGAGUUUUACCGUAUUUUGGAAAUGCUCCAAAUAGGCCACAUCCUCUAAGACCAUAGUCUGUAGAUUAUUAUUCUUUUUUAUUAUUCUCAGGAAUAAACUUGCUGAAUCACCA
RNA transcript from Neofelis nebulosa (Clouded leopard), 8056 nucleotides. It is a transcript of the gene named sushi domain containing 1, with no coding region annotated. The transcript has 18 exons. NCBI's taxonomy places the organism in Eukaryota, Metazoa, Chordata, Mammalia, Carnivora, Felidae. The record is from RefSeq and is a predicted model, not a curated record.